This 465-nucleotide ribosomal RNA is filed under the name uncultured bacterium. RNAcentral's name for it is "partial 16S ribosomal RNA". It matches the Rfam family "Bacterial small subunit ribosomal RNA", at positions 28 to 507 of the family's 1533-position model. The record is from RNAcentral.
GAUGAACGCUGGCGGCGUGCUUAACACAUGCAAGUCGAACGGAAAGGCUCCUGCUUGCAGGGGUACUCGAGUGGCGAACGGGUGAGUAACACGUGGUGAUCUGCCCUGCACUUCGGGAUAAGCCUGGGAAACUGGGUCUAAUACCGGAUAGGACGAUGGUUUGGAUGCCAUUGUGGAAAGUUUUUCGGUGUGGGAUGAGCUCGCGGCCUAUCAGCUUGUUGGUGGGGUAAUGGCCUACCAAGGCGUCGACGGGUAGCCGGCCUGAGAGGGUGUACGGCCACAUUGGGACUGAGAUACGGCCCAGACUCCUACGGGAGGCAGCAGUGGGGAAUAUUGCACAAUGGGCGCAAGCCUGAUGCAGCGACGCCGCGUGGGGGAUGACGGCCUUCGGGUUGUAAACUCCUUUCGCUAGGGACGAAGCGUUUUGUGACGGUACCUGGAGAAGAAGCACCGGCUAACUACGUG